Molecule: long non-coding RNA, 340 nt
Filed under: Rattus norvegicus (Norway rat)
Lineage: Eukaryota; Metazoa; Chordata; Mammalia; Rodentia; Muridae
Description: long non-coding RNA NONRATT032631
Source: RNAcentral
ACAAUUUCAAUUUCUUCCUCUUCUAUUUUUUCCAUUCAUUUAUUCCAUAGUCUUUAUAGCAGCUCGUCUAUCUUCAAAAUGAACAAAUGCAUAAUCUUUCGACUUCUUCACUCUCUCCAGUUUUCCAAAUUCAGAAAAUGAUUUUUUCUAAUAUUUCUUCUGUCACUGUGGUAGCCAGGUUUCUUACAAAUAAAACUUUUACCUUUGCCAUGACUUCUGAAUCCAGCUCUACCAUGGAGUCAGCCCACUCAACUGUCUGCAUAACUCCACAUAAAAAUGUACUUUUGUUCUGAACAUGGGAUAAGUCACUUUCUUUGAACUGCUGUAGUACAGAAAGAGC